Molecule: microRNA precursor, 108 nt
Filed under: Podarcis lilfordi (Lilford's wall lizard)
Lineage: Eukaryota; Metazoa; Chordata; Lepidosauria; Squamata; Lacertidae
Source: RNAcentral
AACUAAGUUUGUUAUUGGUAUGAGCUUUCGUGUGCAUGCACACCUCUCCAGAUAUCUGAAGAAGUGUGCAUGCACAUGAAAGCUCAUACCAAUAACAAACUUAGUUGG